CCUACGGGGGCAGUAGUAGGGAAUCUUUCACAAUGGGCGAAAGCCUGAUGGAGCAACGCCGCGUGCAGGAUGAAGGCCUUCGGGUUGUAAACUGCUUUUAUAAGCGAGAAAUAUGAUGGUAACUUAUGAAUAAGGAUCGGCUAACUACGUGCCAGCAGCCGCGGUCAUACGUAGGAUCCGAGCAUUAUCCGGAGUGACUGGGUGUAAAGAGUUGCGUAGGUGGCAUAAGAAGUAGCUAGUGAAAUCUGGUGGCUCAACCAUUCAGACUAUUAGCUAAACUGUUAAGCUCGAGACCGUUAGGGGUAACUGGAAUUUCUAGUGUAGGAGUGAAAUCCGUAGAUAUUAGAAGGAACACCAAUAGCGUAGGCAGGUUGCUGGGACGGUUCUGACACUAAGGCACGAAAGCGUAGGGAGCAAACGGGAUUAGACACCCGGGUAGUC
This 441-nucleotide ribosomal RNA is filed under the name uncultured bacterium. RNAcentral's name for it is "partial 16S ribosomal RNA". It matches the Rfam family "Bacterial small subunit ribosomal RNA", at positions 338 to 795 of the family's 1533-position model. The record is from RNAcentral.